This 253-nucleotide ribosomal RNA is filed under the name uncultured bacterium. RNAcentral describes it as "partial 16S ribosomal RNA". It matches the Rfam family "Bacterial small subunit ribosomal RNA", at positions 524 to 776 of the family's 1533-position model. The record is from RNAcentral.
UACGUAGGGUGCAAGCGUUGUCCGGAAUUAUUGGGCGUAAAGGGCUCGUAGGCGGUCUGUCGCGUCGGGAGUGAAAACUCAGGGCUUAACCCUGAGCCUGCUUCCGAUACGGGCAGACUAGAGGUAUGCAGGGGAGAACGGAAUUCCUGGUGUAGCGGUGGAAUGCGCAGAUAUCAGGAGGAACACCGGUGGCGAAGGCGGUUCUCUGGGCAUUACCUGACGCUGAUGCGCGAAAGCCAGGGGAGCGAACGGG